UCCGAGUUGACCCCGGCAGUCUCCCAUGAGUCCCCGCCAUUACGCGCUGGCAACAUGGAACGAGGAUUGCGCUCGUUGCGGGACUUAACCCAACAUCUCACGACACGAGCUGACGACAGCCAUGCAGCAUCUGUGCGCGCUCCCUUGCGGGUCCUCGCCCUUUCGGGUCCGUACCACGCGCAUGUCAAGCCCAGGUAAGGUUCUUCGCGUUGCAUCGAAUUAAGCCACAUGCUCCGCCGCUUGUGCGGGUCCCCGUCAAUUCCUUUGAGUUUUAGCCUUGCGGCCGUACUCCCCAGGCGGAGUGCUUAAUGCGUUAGCUGCGGCACAGAGAGGGUUGAAGACCUCCCCACACCUAGCACUCAACGCUUACGGCUGGGACUAC
Molecule: unclassified non-coding RNA, 382 nt
Filed under: uncultured Actinomycetes bacterium
Lineage: Bacteria; Bacillati; Actinomycetota; Actinomycetes
Description: uncultured actinobacterium contains 16S-23S intergenic spacer region
Source: RNAcentral